Long non-coding RNA from Oncorhynchus keta (chum salmon), 886 nucleotides. RefSeq lists it as uncharacterized. Lineage: Eukaryota; Metazoa; Chordata; Actinopteri; Salmoniformes; Salmonidae. The record is from RefSeq and is a predicted model, not a curated record. The transcript is spliced from 3 exons.
CAAACAGGUAGACUACAGACCAGCUCCUCACGUGAUCAUGUCCUCCGAUCAAACAGGUAGACUACAGACCAGCUCCUCACGUGAUCAUGUCCUCCGAUCAAACAGGUAGACUACAGACCAGCUCCUCACGUGAUCAUGUCCUCCGAUCAAACAGGUAGACUACAGACCAGCUCCUCACGUGAUCAUGUCCUCUGAUCAAACAGGUAGACUACAGACCAGCUCCUCACGUGAUCAUGUCCUCCGAUCAAACAGGUAGACUACAGACCAGCUCCUCACGUGAUCAUGUCCUCCGAUCAAACAGGUAGACUACAGACCAGCUCUUCACGUGAUCAUGUCCUCCGAUCAAACAGGUAGACUACAGACCAGCUCCUCACGUGAUCAUGUCCUCCAAUCAAACAGGUAGACUACAGACCAGCUCCUCACGUGAUCAUGUCCUCCGAUCAAACAGGUAGACUACAGACCAGCUCCUCACGUGAUCAUGUCCUCCGAUCAAACAGGUAGACUACAGACCAGCUCCUCACGUGAUCAUGUCCUCCGAUCAAACAGGUAGACUACAGACCAGCUCCUCACGUGAUCAUGUCCUCCGAUCAAACAGGUAGACUACAGACCAGCUCCUCACGUGAUCAUGUCCUCCGAUCAAACAGGUAGACUACAGACCAGCUCCUCACGUGAUCAUGUCCUCCAAUCAAACAGGUAGACUACAGACCAGCUCCUCACGUGAUCAUGUCCUCCAAUCAAACAGGUAGACUACAGACCAGCUCCUCACGUGAUCAUGUCCUCCGAUCAAACAGGUAGACUACAGACCAGCUCCUCACGUGAUCAUGUCCUCCAAUCAAACAGGUAGACUACAGACCAGCUCCUCACGUGAUCAUGUCCUCCGAUCAAA